CGAAGAUAUUAUUUUUGUGUUUAACGUUACAACAUUAUUACAUUAUAUUAUAUUUUAAAGACGCUUAUACUCGCAUAAUGUUCAUUACCGAAAUAGUUUAUCGAAAGGUCUUCGCUUACACACUUUUACAUUUCAACAAAGUACCCAAUUUUAAUUUUCAAAAUUGAACCGAACCUUCUGAACGUAUUUCACUUGCAUAAGAUGAAUAAACUCUGCAAAUAUUUGGAACUAUAGAACACAAAGUUUUUUGAAUGUACAAUUUAGUUUGCCGGUAUUUUCGAGACUAACUUUCAGACAUUUUAAGCCAAACAAACUUGUAUACACAAAUUCUAUAAAAUUAUAUUCAAAAAUAUAUAGUUUAGUCUUUAUUUCGAUGUUUUUAGUAGAUAUAUUGUUCAAAAAUAUCAAAUUAAUUACCUAACAGUUUGUUAAGAAUGUUAUAUUAAGACGGUGGAACAGAUUCACUUUCACCCACUUACUAAGAUUUAUAGGACUGAAAACGUCGGA
This is a non-coding RNA of Cinara cedri, 507 nucleotides long. The record is from the annotation of a GenBank genome assembly. NCBI's taxonomy places the organism in Eukaryota, Metazoa, Arthropoda, Insecta, Hemiptera, Aphididae.